UGGCAGUCAGAGGCGAUGAAGGGCGUGCUAAUCUGCGAUAAGCGCCGGUAAGGUGAUAUGAACCGUUAUAACCGGCGAUACCCGAAUGGGGAAACCCAGUGUGAUUCGUCACACUAUCAUUAACUGAAUCCAUAGGUUAAUGAGGCGAACCGGGGGAACUGAAACAUCUAAGUACCCCGAGGAAAAGAAAUCAACCGAGAUUCCCCCAGUAGCGGCGAGCGAACGGGGAGGAGCCCAGAGCCUGAAUCAGCAUGUGUGUUAGUGGAAGCGUCUGGAAAGGCGCGCGAUACAGGGUGACAGCCCCGUACACAAAAGCGCAUGUGCUGUGAGCUCGAUGAGUAGGGCGGGACACGUGGUAUCCUGUCUGAAUAUGGGGGGACCAUCCUCCAAGGCUAAAUACUCCUGACUGACCGAUAGUGAACCAGUACCGUGAGGGAAAGGCGAAAAGAACCCCGGCGAGGGGAGUGAAAAAGAACCUGAAACCGUGUACGUACAAGCAGUGGGAGC
RNAcentral lists this ribosomal RNA (507 nucleotides) under Salmonella enterica subsp. enterica serovar Derby. RNAcentral describes it as "bacterial LSU rRNA". It matches the Rfam family "Bacterial large subunit ribosomal RNA", at positions 34 to 580 of the family's 2925-position model. RNAcentral also lists the same sequence under 1 other name. The record is from RNAcentral. Lineage: Bacteria; Pseudomonadati; Pseudomonadota; Gammaproteobacteria; Enterobacterales; Enterobacteriaceae.